UCUAGCAUAACCAGUAUUAGAGGCACUGCCUGCCCAGUGACAACAGUUAAACGGCCGCGGUAUCCUGACCGUGCAAAGGUAGCAUAAUCAUUUGUUCUCUAAAUAAGGACUUGUAUGAACGGCAACACGAGGGCUUAACUGUCUCUUUCUUCCAAUCAGUGAAAUUGACCUUCCCGUGAAGAGGCGGGAAUACCUAAAUAAGACGAGAAGACCCUAUGGAGCUUUAAUUAACUCAUCUAAUAGAACAAUACUUAAUCACCAAGAGACAACAAUACUUCUAACUAGGUGAGCAAUUUCAGUUGGGGUGACUUCGGAGAACAAGAAAUCCUCCGAGCGAUUUAUAAAGAUUAGACUCACAAGUCAAAUCACACUAUCGUUUAUUGAUCCAAAGCUCUUGAUCAACGGAACAAGUUACCCUAGGGAUAACAGCGCAAUCCUAUUCUAGAGUCCAUAUCGACAAUAGGGUUUACGACCUCGAUGUUGGAUCAGGACAUCCUAAUGGUGCAGCCGCUAUUAAAGGUUCGUUUGUUCAACGAUUAAAGUCCUA
RNAcentral lists this ribosomal RNA (547 nucleotides) under Moschiola indica. RNAcentral describes it as "partial 16S ribosomal RNA". It matches the Rfam family "Bacterial large subunit ribosomal RNA", at positions 1821 to 2598 of the family's 2925-position model. The record is from RNAcentral. Lineage: Eukaryota; Metazoa; Chordata; Mammalia; Artiodactyla; Tragulidae.